GCGUGAGCGAUGAAGGCCUUCGGGUCGUAAAGCUCUGUGGGGAGAGACGAAGAAAGCCCGUGAAGAGCGGGCCUUGACGGUAUCUCCUUAGCAAGCACCGGCUAACUCCGUGCCAGCAGCCGCGGUAAUACGGAGGGUGCAAACGUUGCUCGGAAUCAUUGGGCGUAAAGCGCACGUAGGCGGCGAAGCAAGUUGGGUGUGAAAGCCCUGGGCUCAACUCAGGAAGUGCAUUCAAAACUGCUUCGCUUGAAUCUCGGAGGGGGUCAGAGAAUUCCCGGUGUAGAGGUGAAAUUCGUAGAUAUCGGGAGGAAUACCAGUGGCGAAGGCGCUGACCUGGACGAAGAUUGACGCUGAGGUGCGAAAGCGCGGGGAGCAAACAGGAUUAGAUACCCUGGUAGUCCGCGCUGUAAACGAUGAGUGCUAGACGGUGGAGGUAUUGACCCCUUCGCUGCCGAAGCUAACGCGUUAAGCACUCCGCCUGGGGAGUACGGUCGCAAGACUAAAACUCAAAGGAAUUGACGGGGGC
RNAcentral lists this ribosomal RNA (526 nucleotides) under uncultured bacterium. RNAcentral's name for it is "bacterial SSU rRNA". It matches the Rfam family "Bacterial small subunit ribosomal RNA", at positions 399 to 920 of the family's 1533-position model. The record is from RNAcentral.